AGAGUUUGAUCAUGGCUCAGGAUGAACGCUAGCGGCAGGCUUAACACAUGCAAGUCGAGGGGUAUAGUUCUUCGGAGCUAGAGACCGGCGCACGGGUGCGUAACGCGUAUGCAAUCUACCUUUUACAGAGGGAUAGCCCAGAGAAAUUUGGAUUAAUACCUCAUAGUAUGUGAGAAUCGCAUGGUUUUCACAUUAAAGUUCCAACGGUAAAAGAUGAGCAUGCGUCCCAUUAGCUUGUUGGUAAGGUAACGGCUUACCAAGGCAACGAUGGGUAGGGGUCCUGAGAGGGAGAUCCCCCACACUGGUACUGAGACACGGACCAGACUCCUACGGGAGGCAGCAGUGAGGAAUAUUGGACAAUGGGCGCAAGCCUGAUCCAGCCAUGCCGCGUGCAGGAAGAAGCAUCUAUGGUGUGUAAACUGCUUUUGUACGGGAAGAAACACUCCUACGUGUAGGAGCUUGACGGUACCGUAAGAAUAAGGAUCGGCUAACUCCGUGCCAGCAGCCGCGGUAAUACGGAGGAUCCAAGCGUUAUCCGGAAUCAUUGGGUUUAAAGGGUCCGUAGGCGGUUUAAUAAGUCAGUGGUGAAAUCUGGUCGCUCAACGAUCAAACGGCCAUUGAUACUGUUAGACUUGAAUUACUGGGAAGUAACUAGAAUAUGUAGUGUAGCGGUGAAAUGCUUAGAUAUUACAUGGAAUAC
Molecule: ribosomal RNA, 700 nt
Filed under: uncultured bacterium
Lineage: Bacteria
Description: bacterial SSU rRNA
Rfam family: Bacterial small subunit ribosomal RNA
Source: RNAcentral